Gossypium raimondii (Peruvian cotton) is the source of this 145-nucleotide non-coding RNA. The record is from Rfam. NCBI's taxonomy places the organism in Eukaryota, Viridiplantae, Streptophyta, Magnoliopsida, Malvales, Malvaceae.
CUGUAAAAUUUUCAUUCAUUUCUAUUAUUAAAAACUGGUGUGGCUAAUAAAAUAACCAGAUAGUUACACAGGUUGUGCCACAUGCAUCUUAUGCUUACUUAUAAAGACCAUUUUUUAUUAGUAAAAUUGGAUGAAAUUUUAGCAA